GACCUUCGAACGAGCAAAAUGGAAGGAACCAAAGAAGGUCCAGAUCUCACCGAUACCCUGAAAGCGAUAACGUGGAGCAAACGAUUACUCGCUUAUUCUGGAAUUUGGCCAUUGGAAAUUCGGAAUUCAUUAUUUCUACCAUUUUCAUUUUACGGAUGCCUUUACAGUAUUUUAGGAUUUCUCGAUUUAGCAGAUCGUAUCACCGAUUUUCAUUACGUAUUGACGAAUAUUAUGGAGAACAUGUUGAUGUUUUUGACAAUGACGAAAUUUGGUUUGUGCCGAGUAAAAUAUCGAUCUAUUUCAAGAUUUUUAAUAGAAACGGAAAAUGAUUAUGUCAUCAAUAGUUAUAAAACCGAAGAGGAGAGAAUGAUUUUUAUGAAAUAUAACAGAUUUGCCAUUAGAAUGAUCUUGAUUAUGAUCCCAUUGAUGACCUUCGUACUUCUUACACAUUAUUUUAAUGCUGUCAUACCAAAUGUACUUAUGGUUAUGGCGAAUUCUUCAGUGGAAUAUAAAUUACCUUAUAAAAUAAGGCCGUUACUUAAGCCGUCCGAUGUAAAAAGAUAUGUCUUUGGUUGUAUACACGAGUUUGUUGGCAUAAUAUUGGUCCUUUCCGCUUACGUCGGAACUGAUUGUUUAUUGACUUCUUCCGGUUUUCAUCUUACCGGCCAAUUAGCCGUAUUGAAGUGUAAAGUGAAAGAAAUUUUGAACGAUACGGAUGGUUCUCAGCGGGUAAUACAAAAAAUUAUACUUCGACAUUAUCAUUUGAUAAGAUUAGCGGAUAUAUUGGAAGAUAGUUUUAACAUGGUCAUGUUUCUACAUUUGUUAGGUUCAACGAUUCUAAUUUGUACGUCGAGUUAUCAAAUGCUUGUCAGUUUAGCGGUAUUAGAAAAAGUCUAUAUAUUUACAUUCGUUGUAUACGUUUUUCACUUGUCGAUCACAGUGUUCGUUUAUUGUUACAUGGGGGAAUGUCUUAUCGAGGAAAGUACGACCCUGUGCGAAGAAUUUUAUCAUUGCGACUGGUACGAGCUCUCGACGAACGAUUUGAAAUCGAUUUGUCUUUGCAUGAUUCGCGCUAGGAAACCAUUGCAAUUGACUUGUGGAAAGUUUUGCGCUGUAUCCUUGUGCACUUUUACCGACAUUUUAAAGUCAUCGAUGGCGUACUUAUCAGUAGUACGAACAAUGGUGUAAACAAUACUGUACAACAAUUAGUCUUGAAUAAUUAUGACUGGAAUUUUAUAAUUGAUAUGUUUAUAAAAAUUGUAAUCAUACUGCAUUUAAUAAAAGUGCAUAUAAUCACGUCAUAUAGAUAAGUAUCGAACUUGUAUACUAAUAUGUUA
Molecule: RNA transcript, 1337 nt
Organism: Vespa velutina
Lineage: Eukaryota; Metazoa; Arthropoda; Insecta; Hymenoptera; Vespidae
Gene name: odorant receptor 13a-like
Exons: 8
Source: RefSeq, a predicted model, not a curated record